AGGCAGCAGUGAGGGAAUAUCGGGCAAUGGGCGAGAGCCUGACCCAGCCAUGCCGCGUGCAGGAAGACGGCCUUCUGGGUUGUAAACUGCUUUUAUCAGGGAAGAAAGAGGCACUGCGGUGCCAGUUGACUGUACCUGAUGAAUAAGCACCGGCUAACUCCGUGCCAGCAGCCGCGGUAAUACGGAGGGUGCAAGCGUUGUCCGGAUUUAUUGGGUUUAAAGGGUGCGUAGGCGGAUUAUUAAGUCAGUGGUGAAAGUCUGCGGCUCAACCGCAGGAGUGCCAUUGAUACUGGUAGUCUUGAGUACAGUAGAGGUAGGCGGAAUUUAUGGUGUAGCGGUGAAAUGCAUAGAUACCAUAAAGAACACCGAUAGCGUAGGCAGCUUACUAUACUGUAACUGACGCUGAGGCACGAAAGCGUGGGGAUCGAACAGGAUUAGAUACCCUGGUAGUCCACGCUGUAAACGAUGAAGACUCGCUGUUGGCGAUAUACUGUCAGCGGCCAAGCGAAAGCGUUAAGUCUUCCACCUGGGGAGUACGACCGCAAGGUUGA
RNAcentral lists this ribosomal RNA (551 nucleotides) under uncultured Flammeovirgaceae bacterium. RNAcentral describes it as "bacterial SSU rRNA". It matches the Rfam family "Bacterial small subunit ribosomal RNA", at positions 346 to 897 of the family's 1533-position model. Lineage: Bacteria; Pseudomonadati; Bacteroidota; Cytophagia; Cytophagales; Flammeovirgaceae. The record is from RNAcentral.